UAUUGGAAUGCCAAGCGAUUGUAUGAUG
This 28-nucleotide small RNA is filed under the name Bombyx mori (domestic silkworm). Its description in RNAcentral is "ovarian small RNA-6685". Lineage: Eukaryota; Metazoa; Arthropoda; Insecta; Lepidoptera; Bombycidae. The record is from RNAcentral.